GGGCCUGUAGUUUAGUGGUAAAAUACCUCAUUUGCAAUGAGGAGACGCGAGUUCGAUUCUCGCCGGGUCCACCA
RNAcentral lists this transfer RNA (74 nucleotides) under Parcubacteria group bacterium ADurb.Bin305. RNAcentral's name for it is "tRNA-Ala". It matches the Rfam family "tRNA". Rfam says of the family: Transfer RNA (tRNA) molecules are approximately 80 nucleotides in length. Their secondary structure includes four short double-helical elements and three loops (D, anti-codon, and T loops). Further hydrogen bonds mediate the characteristic L-shaped molecular structure. tRNAs have two regions of fundamental functional importance: the anti-codon, which is responsible for specific mRNA codon recognition, and the 3' end, to which the tRNAs corresponding amino acid is attached (by aminoacyl-tRNA synthetases). tRNAs cope with the degeneracy of the genetic code in two manners: having more than one tRNA (with a specific anti-codon) for a particular amino acid; and 'wobble' base-pairing, i.e. permitting non-standard base-pairing at the 3rd anti-codon position. The record is from RNAcentral. RNAcentral also lists the same sequence under 1 other name.